UACGUAGGGACCGAGCGUUGUCCGGAUUCAUUGGGCGUAAAGAGCUCGUAGGCGGCCACUCAAGUCGAAUGUGAAACCUCGAGGCUUAACCUCGAGCCUGCAUUCGAUACUGGGCGGCUAGAGUCUGGUAGGGGGAUCUGGAAUUCCUGGUGUAGCGGUGGAAUGCGCAGAUAUCAGGAGGAACACCCGUGGCGAAGGCGGAUCUCUGGGCCAUUACUGACGCUGAGGAGCGAAAGCGUGGGGAGCGAACAGG
RNAcentral lists this ribosomal RNA (253 nucleotides) under uncultured bacterium. RNAcentral's name for it is "partial 16S ribosomal RNA". It matches the Rfam family "Bacterial small subunit ribosomal RNA", at positions 524 to 776 of the family's 1533-position model. The record is from RNAcentral.